This 520-nucleotide ribosomal RNA is filed under the name uncultured bacterium. RNAcentral's name for it is "bacterial SSU rRNA". It matches the Rfam family "Archaeal small subunit ribosomal RNA", at positions 345 to 866 of the family's 1478-position model. The record is from RNAcentral.
AACCUCCGCAAUGUGAGAAAUCGCGACGGGGGGAUCCCAAGUGCCAUUCUUAACGGGAUGGCUUUUCAUUAGUGUAAAGAGCUUUUGGAAUAAGGGCUGGGCAAGACCGGUGCCAGCCGCCGCGGUAACACCGGCAGCUCUAGUGGCAGCAGUUUUAUUGGGCCUAAAGCGUCCGUAGCCGGUUUAAUAAGUCUCUGGUGAAAUCCUGUAGCUUAACUGUGGGAAUUGCUGGAGAUACUAUUAGACUUGAGACCGGGAGAGGUUAGAGGUACUCCCAGGGUAGAGGUGAAAUUCUGUAAUCCUGGGAGGACCGCCUGUUGCGAAGGCGUCUAACUGGAACGGUUCUGACGGUGAGGGACGAAAGUUAGGGGCGCGAACCGGAUUAGAUACCCGGGUAGUCCUAACUGUAAACGAUGCGGACUUGGUGUUGGGGUGGCUUUGAGCUGCUCCAGUGCCGAAGGGAAGCUGUUAAGUCCGCCGCCUGGGAAGUACGGUCGCAAGACUGAAACUUAAAGGAAUU